GACACAUUUUGCGCUAUGUGGUACACUGUUAGGAUACAUUGUCAGAGUGACAAUGUACUUUAUCAAAUUUUCCAUACAACUGGCAACGCUGAAGAGUACAAUCACCAUAGUUACUGUUUAUUAUUCAGAUCCCUGUUAAAUCAGAAAAAUUUUGCUCCUGGGACUUUAUAAAAUAUAACAUUCCGUGGAAAUGAUCAAUAAAUACAUUGAAUAUAACGAUGAGUCCAGCAUACGAGGGCAAACUUUUUUCGAGGUUGAGCCGUUGGAACACAUGAAUAAUGAUUUAGAAUGAAUUGCUACGUUAUUCAGAGGCAUAUUGUGGGUGUCCCUCGUGCUACUGCACUCAACAAUCCUCAAUAGUAUUUACAGUGCGAACUGUUCUAGACGGAAGUAACAUAGACGAACAAGAACGCCAAAUGGGUCCCAAGAUACGCUGUUGCAGAGUUGCAGUUUUUAGGUUUUAUUAAAACGUCCAAGGAGAAGAUUGAUCACGUUACAAAAUUGACCUGGUGAAUCGAAAGUCGAUUUCGAAACCGUCCUUGUGAUGGUCUCUAUGAUGUUCAAAACCAACGAAGUUGAAAUUUGAUUGAGCUCCGUUUGCGUAUUGGGAAUGAUCUUCAAAAAGCAACCUUUUUGUCUAUCCUAGUGUUUCCGAAACUCUCCUUUCCUC
Malaya genurostris is the source of this 670-nucleotide long non-coding RNA. RefSeq lists it as uncharacterized. Lineage: Eukaryota; Metazoa; Arthropoda; Insecta; Diptera; Culicidae. The record is from RefSeq and is a predicted model, not a curated record. The transcript is spliced from 3 exons.